UACGUAGGUGGCAAGCGUUGUCCGGAUUUACUGGGCGUAAAGAGCGCGCAGGCGGCUGGUCAAGUCCGAUGUGAAAUCUCCCGGCUCAACUGGGAAACUGCAUCGGAAACUGAUCGGCUUGAAGGUGGGAGAGGGUAGUGGAAUUCCCGGUGUAGCGGUGAAAUGUGUAGAGAUCGGGAGGAACACCGGUGGCGAAGGCGGGUCUCUGGGCAUCUCCUGACGCUGAGGCGCGAAAGCGUGGGGAGCAAACGGG
RNAcentral lists this ribosomal RNA (253 nucleotides) under uncultured bacterium. RNAcentral's name for it is "partial 16S ribosomal RNA". It matches the Rfam family "Bacterial small subunit ribosomal RNA", at positions 524 to 776 of the family's 1533-position model. The record is from RNAcentral.